GGAGUUGUGGCUCAGUGGCAGAGCGCUUGCCUAGCAUGCGUGAGGCCCUGGGUUCAAUCCCCAUCACCA
RNAcentral lists this transfer RNA (69 nucleotides) under Ictidomys tridecemlineatus (thirteen-lined ground squirrel). RNAcentral describes it as "Spermophilus tridecemlineatus (thirteen-lined ground squirrel) tRNA". It matches the Rfam family "tRNA". From Rfam's summary of the family: Transfer RNA (tRNA) molecules are approximately 80 nucleotides in length. Their secondary structure includes four short double-helical elements and three loops (D, anti-codon, and T loops). Lineage: Eukaryota; Metazoa; Chordata; Mammalia; Rodentia; Sciuridae. The record is from Rfam by way of RNAcentral.